AUCGCUUCUCGGCCUUUUGGCUAAGAUCAAGUGUAGUAUCUGUUCUUAUCAGUUUAAUAUCUGAUACGUCCCCCAUCGGGGGACUAUACAUAUUAAAUGGAUUUUUCGAACAGGGAGUCGGAAGCGGGGCUUGCUCCGUCCGCUCCACGCAUCGACUCGGUUUGCAGUACCUCCCGAGAACGGUGCACCCUCU
RNAcentral lists this small nuclear RNA (193 nucleotides) under Esox lucius (northern pike). RNAcentral's name for it is "U2 spliceosomal RNA". It matches the Rfam family "U2 spliceosomal RNA". Rfam says of the family: U2 is a small nuclear RNA (snRNA) component of the spliceosome (involved in pre-mRNA splicing). Complementary binding between U2 snRNA (in an area lying towards the 5' end but 3' to hairpin I) and the branchpoint sequence (BPS) of the intron results the bulging out of an unpaired adenosine, on the BPS, which initiates a nucleophilic attack at the intronic 5' splice site, thus starting the first of two transesterification reactions that mediate splicing. The record is from Rfam by way of RNAcentral. Lineage: Eukaryota; Metazoa; Chordata; Actinopteri; Esociformes; Esocidae.